RNAcentral lists this ribosomal RNA (543 nucleotides) under uncultured bacterium. RNAcentral's name for it is "partial 16S ribosomal RNA". It matches the Rfam family "Bacterial small subunit ribosomal RNA", at positions 355 to 887 of the family's 1533-position model. The record is from RNAcentral.
UGGGGAAUAUUGCACAAUGGGCGCAAGCCUGAUGCAGCCAUGCCGCGUGUGUGAAGAAGGCCUUCGGGUUGUAAAGCACUUUCAGCGAGGAGGAAGGUGGUGAGCUUAAUACGCUCAUCAAUUGACGUUACUCGCAGAAGAAGCACCGGCUAACUCCGUGCCAGCAGCCGCGGUAAUACGGAGGGUGCAAGCGUUAAUCGGAAUUACUGGGCGUAAAGCGCACGCAGGCGGUUUGUUAAGUCAGAUGUGAAAUCCCCGGGCUCAACCUGGGAACUGCAUUUGAAACUGGCAAGCUAGAGUCUCGUAGAGGGGGGUAGAAUUCCAGGUGUAGCGGUGAAAUGCGUAGAGAUCUGGAGGAAUACCGGUGGCGAAGGCGGCCCCCUGGACGAAGACUGACGCUCAGGUGCGAAAGCGUGGGGCAGCAAACAGGAUUAGAUACCCUGGUAGUCCACGCUGUAAACGAUGUCGAUUUUGGAGGUUGUGCCCCUUGAGGCGUGGCUUCCAGAGCUAACGCGUUAAAUCGACCGCCUGGGGAGUACGGCC